UACGUAGGGAGCAAGCGUUGUCCGGAAUCAUUGGGCGUAAAGCGCGCGUAGGUGGCCUCAUAAGUCCGCUGUGAAAGUCCGGGGCUCAACCCCGGGAGGCGGGCGGAUACUGUCGGGCUAGAGUCCGGAAGAGGCGAGUGGAAUUCCUGGUGUAGCGGUGAAAUGCGCAGAUAUCAGGAGGAACACCAAUGGCGAAGGCAGCUCGCUGGGACGUGACUGACGCUGAGACGCGAAAGCGUGGGGAGCAAACAGG
RNAcentral lists this ribosomal RNA (253 nucleotides) under uncultured bacterium. RNAcentral describes it as "partial 16S ribosomal RNA". It matches the Rfam family "Bacterial small subunit ribosomal RNA", at positions 524 to 776 of the family's 1533-position model. The record is from RNAcentral.